This 3425-nucleotide long non-coding RNA is filed under the name Homo sapiens (human). RNAcentral describes it as "HSALNT0275042". Lineage: Eukaryota; Metazoa; Chordata; Mammalia; Primates; Hominidae. The record is from RNAcentral.
AGAAUCUUUUAAAAGCCCUGCUGUCUGAGGACCUGCAUCACCCAGGAUUCCGUUUCAUUUCUCCAGCCACAAUCCCUGCCAGUGUUCUCUGCACUCUGGAUGAGAGACCUUAGGAAAGCAAAUCAGAUCGUAUCACUUCCCUUCUGAAAAUUCCAAAAGCUCCCCCCGCCCCCGCCGCACCGGCCUCUCUUUAUUGGCCCCCUGCACAGCCUCCAGCUCCUCGUACUGACCUCUUUGCAGUUCUCCAAACCGGCCAGGCUCGUGCUUUGCAGAGGCCUUUGCACAGGUGCACACACCCGCUGGGCCUGGAAGACCUUUCCCUUCCCGCUUCACGAAGGCCAGGUGGCCUCCCUGGGCUGAGCCCCUGUCUCAGCAUGUGGCGCACUGUGUUGAAAUGCUCCAGGACUUGAGUGCGUCUAUCACUGGGAUACACCUCCCAAUGGCAGAGGCAGUCUCGUCACCAAAUACUGUGGGUGCCGCUCUCUAUAUAACUGCUCGGUCAAUGUUUGCCCAGUGGUUGAAUGAAUGGAUGCGAGAAGCUGCUUAGUUCCCUUCUCUCCCUGGGGCUCCAGUCCUGCCACGGAGGGAGCAUUAGGAACAAGCACUCACAACUGUUCUUUGACAGGUCUUUGUGACUGAUUAAGCAGGUCCUUUAUCUCUAAUGUGCAUUUCCUUAUCGCUGUUCUACAUCUCCUGGCCUCCUCUUUAAACCAAAAGCUCCAUCCAGAGCCUCCAAAUGGAUGACUAUUCAGCAGGACCGCAAGAGGAGCGCUGUUGAGGGGAAAGAGUAGUGGGGGGGAUGGCGCUGAGACAGAGGGAGGAAGGGCAGAGGAACCCAACUUCUCAGCUGCCUCUUUUGUGCUCUGUCCUUUCCCUUCUAACUCCCUCCCCACUCUGUGCACCACCUAUUACUGUCCCUAUUGUAGAAGAUGUGGAAACGCGGGCCUCACGGGUUCAAUAGCCAACAGACACUCAGUUCCGCAGCCAUCAAGAGGAAGACCAGGUAAAAACAACAGCCACAGCUGAGCUCCACAGAUGACCUGGUGUAAGCCUCAGUCGCCUUAUGAGCCUCCUAGGGGAGGAGAGAGAAAACAGAAGCGGGAAAAGGCCAAUUGAGAGGGAGAAAGUUCUGGAGCAGGACUGCAAGGCGACCUUGGCUUCCUGGCCCCUGAUGGCUGUAUUUGCAGGUGCAUCACACACCCUUCUCAGCCUCUGCUCCCUGCACUGAACAUGCUGGAACUCCAACCACACCUCACCUGCCACCUUCCUACCAGACACUUCUAUUUGCCCUUCUCCCACUUUUGCCCAGGGGCCAGUUUCAGCUGCUCACUUUCCAAAGGAUCACUUGAGCAGCACCUCCAUCUACACAGACUGCAGAAGGCCCAACUGAAUGCAGGCUGGAUGCAGCCUGGGCUGCACCUUAGAAUCACCUGGGAAACUUUUACAAGCCACAGGUGUCUAGGCCCCGCCCCAGGCCCAUUAAGUCACAUUCCUUGGACUUGGGCUCUGGUAUAUUUAGGGGUGCAGGGGAGUGGUCUGGUAUAUUUUAAAAGCUUCCCUAGUGAUUAUUCUGCACAGAGGACUCAAAGCCACCCCAUUUCCGGAGACAGGUUCACAUGAAAAAGUUGAAUAGCAACAUUCGGCAUCAUCUACACACAUUAAGAUUCAGAUUCCUCGAGAGUCACACCUGGGCGCUGGCGACUCCCUCCUGAAGGCCACCCCGAGGGAGUCCAGGAGAAAGAGGAAGGAGACUCCAGAGGAGGAGAGGAUGGGAAGGAUGGAGAGCAGCCCCUCCCACCUCUUCCCAGUGGCUCCACCCCUCUUCCUCAAAGAGCAUGGGUGUUCCCUGCCCGCCUCCAAGAAGCUCCUGCUUUCACCACCGCGAGAAAUCCCUCCGUCUAGCGCAUCCAACUGGGAACUGCACUCCGGAGGACAAUGCUUGGCUCCCCUUGGCACGGGUAUUGUGCCUGUACCCCUGGGCCGGCCUUGAUGCACAGUGAACCUCUGUCUUGGGAGACCCACGCUCUCUUUCCUCCCCUCUCCUUGUGAUGAUGAAAGUGUGCCUUCAGGCCAAUGGUGGCUCGAGCCUGUAAUCCCAGCACUUUGAGAGGUAGAGGCAAGAGGAUCGCUUGAGCCCCGGAGUCCAAGACCAGCGCGGCCAACAUAGCGAGACCCCAUCUCUACAAAAAAAUUAAAAGUGUGCCUUUACCUCCUCCCAUGUGAAGAGCAGGUAAGGGGUAGACUUUUGGCCCCGUUUUAUAGAGAGAAACUGAGGCUCACAAGGAAAAACAAUCUGUGGACAGGGAUACACCAGGAAGUUCCAAGCUGAGGGUAAAUUACCCUAGAGAUCUGCAAAAGUUCAACUGAUGGCUGCCAUGGAGGAAGUGGGUCCAGAUGGGGAACAGGGCCAUCUCCGCCUUCAAAACAACCCCAAACAGGGCUUGGAAUAAGAUCGACCAUAGGCCAGGCUCGGUGGCUCACACCUGUAAUCCUAGCACUUUGGAAGUCCGAGGCAGGCAAAUCACAAGGUCAGGAGUUCGAGACCAGCUUGGCCAACAUGGUGAAACCCUGUCUCUAAAAAAAAAAAAAAAAAAAAAAAAUCGACCAAAGACCCCCCCUGAUAUUUCCCCAGCUUCUUGGCCAAGCAGGGGAUGAGGUCAGGGUCUGUCUCUGUGGGACGAAGAUUAAGGACUGGGGUCUGUGCAUGCCUGUGCGUAUGGCCCUUGCCACCCCCAUUCAACCAAGAACAUCAAUUUGCAUCUGAAACUGUUCUAUAGGUAUGCCAGAGCAGCCUCCUAGGCGGCAUCUCUUCACCCCCAGCGCAAAUGGUGAGAUUUGGGUGACUCCAUCCCCCAAACACAGAACCUGGCGAGGUCUGUGUUAAAAUGUAAAUUCAGGAGUCAUAAAUAUUUUUAAAGUUGUAAUACAAGAAACAGAUUGUCCGGGGGCCAAAAGGAUGACCUUUUACAUGCAAAUGAAAAUAAUGGAUCUUUAAACGCAGUUAUUGUCAGGAUGAUGAGCUGACUAAGACUGGAGGAAAAGAGGCCUCCUGGGUGGGCGCCAGCGUGGGAUAAAGAAAAGACAACCAGAGCAGAGAUGAAAAAGACCGAAAGGGGAUGCAAGCACCCAGGAGAGUGGACUGAGAAGUUCUAGGGGCAAGCCGGCGUGCAGAAAGAGGACCAGAUUCCUGGGGUCAGUAACUAAGGAUGACAAUGGAGGACCCCAAGGGGCCCUCUGGGACAAAAAUAGGACUGGGAUGCACUAUCUCAGAAACUGGAUGCAGGAGCUCAAGGAAAACACCUUAGCACCGGGGUUUCCAUGUCCCCAGCACUUCUCACGCUCAGUGUUUUAACUCUCAUUUCCAGACAAUGUAAUAACAUAGCGGGUACUGGGGGUGUGGUCCCUGUCCUCAUGACGUUUACAAA